Molecule: ribosomal RNA, 465 nt
Filed under: Vreelandella stevensii
Lineage: Bacteria; Pseudomonadati; Pseudomonadota; Gammaproteobacteria; Oceanospirillales; Halomonadaceae
Description: partial 16S ribosomal RNA
Rfam family: Bacterial small subunit ribosomal RNA
Source: RNAcentral
CCUACGGGUGGCUGCAGUGGGGAAUAUUGGACAAUGGGCGAAAGCCUGAUCCAGCCAUGCCGCGUGUGUGAAGAAGGCCUUCGGGUUGUAAAGCACUUUCAGUGGGGAAGAAAGCCUUGGGGCUAAUACCCUCGAGGAAGGACAUCACCCACAGAAGAAGCCCCGGCUAACUCCGUGCCAGCAGCCGCGGUAAUACGGAGGGUGCGAGCGUUAAUCGGAAUUACUGGGCGUAAAGCGCGCGUAGGCGGUCUGAUAAGCCGGUUGUGAAAGCCCCGGGCUCAACCUGGGAACGGCAUCCGGAACUGUCAGGCUAGAGUGCAGGAGAGGAAGGUAGAAUUCCCGGUGUAGCGGUGAAAUGCGUAGAGAUCGGGAGGAAUACCAGUGGCGAAGGCGGCCUUCUGGACUGAAACUGACGCUGAGGUGCGAAAGCGUGGGUAGCAAACAGGAUUAGAUACCCUUGUAGUC